Molecule: ribosomal RNA, 253 nt
Filed under: uncultured bacterium
Lineage: Bacteria
Description: partial 16S ribosomal RNA
Rfam family: Bacterial small subunit ribosomal RNA
Source: RNAcentral
UACAGAGGUCUCAAGCGUUGUUCGGAAUUACUGGGCGUAAAGCGCACGUAGGUGGCUUUGUAAGUUAGAGGUGAAAGCCCGGGGCUCAACUCCGGAAUUGCCUUUAAGACUGCAUCGCUAGAACGUCGGAGAGGUAAGUGGAAUUCCGAGUGUAGAGGUGAAAUUCGUAGAUAUUCGGAAGAACACCAGUGGCGAAGGCGACUUACUGGACGACUGUUGACACUGAGGUGCGAAAGCGUGGGGAGCAAACAGG